This 451-nucleotide unclassified non-coding RNA is filed under the name Hevea brasiliensis (rubber tree). The record is from RNAcentral. Lineage: Eukaryota; Viridiplantae; Streptophyta; Magnoliopsida; Malpighiales; Euphorbiaceae.
UUCAUCCAACAAGUCAUCUAUAAUUGGAAUUGGGAAUUUGUUUUUAAUGGUGGCAUCAUUAAGUUGUCUAUAAUCUAUGCAGAACCUCCAAGUGUUGUCUUUUUUUUUUAAUUAACAAAACAGGAGAGGCAAAAGGACCGUGGCUAGGUUGAAUGACUCCUGUUUGUAACAUUUCUUUCACUUGCUUCUCAAUUUCAUUUUUCUAAAAAUGGUUGUAUCUAUAAGGUCUGAGAUUUACAUGUUUGGAGUUAGGUUUGAGUUGGAUAGAAUGGUUAUAAUCCCUAUAAGGUGGUAAUUGCGUAGGGUCUUUAAACAGGUCUGCAUAGUUGUCUAAUAAAAAUUGUAGUUCAGGUGGAACAUCACUCUUAGAUUCAACAAGUUCAUCAUUGACAGCAACAGCAUGCAAAGAAAAUAAAUGAGUUAACACACCAGAAAGUCCCUUCCUGAAUAA